Aegilops tauschii subsp. strangulata is the source of this 1001-nucleotide non-coding RNA. NCBI's taxonomy places the organism in Eukaryota, Viridiplantae, Streptophyta, Magnoliopsida, Poales, Poaceae. The record is from RefSeq and is a predicted model, not a curated record.
GCCCCUCUCUCCCAACGCCCGCGUCGACUUUGGGGGAUAUUCUGCAUCCAAGGUUGUGCGGCGUUUGCAUUGGUUUAGGAGGGGCUAGUUGGUCUGGCAACCUGUAUCCGCUUGCUAGUGCGUGUAUGUAUGUCGCGGUUCGCAUAAUUUAUUUGAUGGUACAUCUUCCGUGGCUUUGGGUUUAUGCUUGGUACAUGUCCGUAUCUGAUUAAUUGUUGUUUGCCCAAGCAUUCUGUUUUCUGGUUAGUGUUGGCUUGAGAAUGAUGCAGUAUGAAGGGGAAACUGCCCCAAUCUAGACUAAGAUAAUGAUAAUCUUUGAUGUGCUAACUGCUAAAUGCCGUGCUGUUUCUCUCCUGCCACAAAGCAUGACGAAUCCUUAUUUUUGAAGUGCUGGGAAAACAUCAACUUCCUAAUAAUUUUGCAUGGAGUUUAUUUCUCAUACCCAAUAUUCAAUUCCCAAUUAUAGAAGAGAUGUGCCCAUGAAGAUAAGUUACAACCUGCUCUCACUGAUGAAUGUUGCUCACUUACGAUGGGCAAAUGCUGUUCUUUUGUCAGGUUUGUACUUAGUUUUUGUUAUUGUCGCUUCCAAGGACCUGCUUAUCUUUUGGAUGUGCCUUUGUCUCUCUGAGCAACUGCCCAAGGGUAAUUCUUUUAAAUAAGGUAGAUAAAGUGUUACUAGAUAGAGAAUCAUUCUCAAGCUUGGUAAGCAUUCUUAGAUGUUCCAUCAUAAGUUGAUCAAUGCUUAUUCUCAUAAGUUGUUUAUUUAUGGUUUGUUCCUUUCUGCCAAUGAUGCUUUUGAACUUACCUUUGCAGGUCCGGAUGCUUCAUUCUUUGGAUCAUGCAAAUGUCCUGAAAUUUUACUCUUGGUACGAAACUUCAGCACAUUUUUGGCUAGUAUUGGAAUAUUGUGUUGGUGGAGACCUCAAGGGCUUGCUCGAGCAGGAUAAGAAGCUGCCUGAAAGUGCCAUGCACGCCCUGGCUUAUGAUCUAAGCCCUCCUGU